Molecule: ribosomal RNA, 505 nt
Filed under: uncultured bacterium
Lineage: Bacteria
Description: partial 16S ribosomal RNA
Rfam family: Bacterial small subunit ribosomal RNA
Source: RNAcentral
GACGAACGCUGGCGGCGUGCCUAAUACAUGCAAGUAGAACGCACAGUUUAUACCGUAGCUUGCUACACCAUAGACUGUGAGUUGCGAACGGGUGAGUAACGCGUAGGUAACCUGCCUGGUAGCGGGGGAUAACUAUUGGAAACGAUAGCUAAUACCGCAUAAUAUUAAUUAUUGCAUGAUAAUUGAUUGAAAGAUGCAACUGCAUCACUACCAGAUGGACCUGCGUUGUAUUAGCUAGUAGGUGAGGUAACGGCUCACCUAGGCGACGAUACAUAGCCGACCUGAGAGGGUGAUAGGCCACACUGGGACUGAGACACGGCCCAGACUCCUACGGGAGGCAGCAGUAGGGAAUCUUCGGCAAUGGACGAAAGUCUGACCGAGCAACGCCGCGUGAGUGAAGAAGGUUUUCGGAUCGUAAAGCUCUGUUGUAAGAGAAGAACGGGUGUGAGAGUGGAAAGUUCACACUGUGACGGUAUCUGACCAGAAAGGGACGGCUAACUACGUG